This 194-nucleotide non-coding RNA is filed under the name Chania multitudinisentens RB-25. RNAcentral describes it as "Lysine riboswitch aptamer". It matches the Rfam family "Lysine riboswitch aptamer". From Rfam's summary of the family: Riboswitches are metabolite binding domains within certain messenger RNAs that serve as precision sensors for their corresponding targets. RNAcentral also lists the same sequence under 1 other name. Lineage: Bacteria; Pseudomonadati; Pseudomonadota; Gammaproteobacteria; Enterobacterales; Yersiniaceae. The record is from Rfam by way of RNAcentral.
CAAGCCAGAAGAGGCGCGUCGCCCAGGUAGAGUGUCAGAGGAGCCGUUAUCCGAUGACGGCACUGGAGGGGGAGCGACGCCGAGGCGUGAUGAAAGCGGCAAUCAUUAACGUCGGCUACAGGGGCUGAAUCCCCUGAGUUGUCACCAUGGGUCGCCUGUAAAGGCGGUCAGCAAGGUGGGGCGCUUCUGGGUGU